Molecule: unclassified non-coding RNA, 348 nt
Filed under: soil metagenome
Description: partial contains 5.8S ribosomal RNA, internal transcribed spacer 2, and large subunit ribosomal RNA
Rfam family: 5.8S ribosomal RNA (bases 1-120)
Source: RNAcentral
GAUGAAGAACGUAGCGAAAUGCGAUAAGUAAUGUGAAUUGCAGAAUUCAGUGAAUCAUCGAGUCUUUGAACGCACAUUGCGCCCCCUGGUAUUCCGGGGGGCAUGCCUGUCCGAGCGUCAUUGCUGCCCUCAAGCACGGCUUGUGUGUUGGGCCCCCGUCCCCGGUUUCCCCCGGGGACGGGCCCGAAAGGCAGCGGCGGCACCGCGUCCGGUCCUCGAGCGUAUGGGGCUUUGUUACCCGCUCUGUAGGCCCGGCCGGCGCCAGCCGACACCCAACUUUAUUUCUAAGGUUGACCUCGGAUCAGGUAGGGAUACCCGCUGAACUUAAGCAUAUCAAUAAGCGGAGGA